Molecule: long non-coding RNA, 716 nt
Filed under: Ornithorhynchus anatinus (platypus)
Lineage: Eukaryota; Metazoa; Chordata; Mammalia; Monotremata; Ornithorhynchidae
Description: lncRNA (ENSOANG00000038308.1)
Source: RNAcentral
GUGGGCAGAGGCGCUCCCGCUGCAGUGAUUUACAAAGGACCAUCCCUCCGGGACGCCGAUAAAAUAUGUCGGGGCUCCUAAUCCCGACAGCAUCAAGUGAGAGGGGGAAUAAAACCAUAUAUUACCCCGUCGGCCUUGGGGAUACAGCUGACAAAUAAACGCGUGUUUACAGCUCUAGGGACGUCUCCGGGGGGCUAUAAAUCACCGGGAAGAAAACAAAACCGAAAACAGGAAAUUAAGUGGAAGCGUCUGACCGUCGCCCCGGCCUCUGCUGGGGUCCACGGGAUGCAGCCCCUACAGCAGAACCACAGAAACAGCUGGGGUGAGGUGGAGAAGAGGGCUAAGUUCAGCAUCGGCCAUUCUGGUGGCACCAAAUCAAGGCAGAGGGAGUAAGGCCAGAAACAGAAAACAAGACAUCCAGACAGAGAGAGAUAACAGCAGACGUGCCCAGUCAAUGAAAAACAAUCACCACAAUUAGCAGUGGGCCUCAACAGCAGGCAAAUGGAGCUAGGGACCUAGUCCUGGGAGGCUUCCCAGGCAAAUCUUGGUGGCAAUUCCUGAGACUCUGCCCCCAGCCCCCUCUCACUCCCCUUCCCCUCCCUCCCCCUACUUGCUCCCAGCUCUUCUCAGGAGAUAGCAGUGCUGGGGACCUAGGAUGAAGCUGAGAGGUGAAUGAAUUGUUGGGGUGAGCGCUUACCCUGAGCAGAAUAAUCUUG